UUAAGGUUAAAGAGACUUCAUAAAUAAAUCUGCCAAUCAAUAAUUAUUUACUUUUUUUUUUUACUCAACUUCAACUUGAUAUUAACCAACAAGGGAUACAAGAUUUAACACCACAAGAGUGCUUAAGCCGCACUUACAAUAAAGAGAUUUAGUAACACCCAGGAUCACUACUUGGAUCCUACACUACCCAAUCUAUAUCUUUGUUGUGAUUUUCAUCUCAAUGAACACAAACUUCUCCUACGACCCAGAAGAAACCGGUUCUUAACCACCUAAAUUGACCCCGUGGGACGAAAGCAUUUUACAGCCAGCAAAUGACCAAAUCGAAACAAGAACAAACAAACCCACAAGCGUUAAUCUCCUAAAGAUAAGAAUGAUAGACCGGAUCAACGCUUCAACACCAAAAGGUGCAUAACUUGUCUCGAUCCAUCACUGAUGGACCAAAUGCUUCGCUCCUAAGCCAGAAAAACGGGAAGAGUUCCGGACUGAAAAACGGACCUCGAUGACAGCAACGUAACAGGUACAUCAAUCCAGAUUCCAAAGGUGUGAUACUCACACCACCGGAAGGGCAUAUACGCCACCGCCGACGCCGAGAUGUAGAGCACCACCGCGUGUCUGUUGCGAGUUCCACUCCUCCGGUUGACUACUCCGAAGUGAUGACGCCUCGCCACGCGUCGUCUCUGAGAACCAGAGGACAAGAACAUUUUCCACCGGCCGUCUCGUCUCACCUCCGUUCAUCUCACCGUCGCUCAGGAAGGUAGAUCUGAAGCCAAAGGAGGUUUCCCACCGGGUCACGCGCCGUCAUCGUGAGGGGAUCUCCAGAGAUCUGAAAACGGAAAACCAGAUCCGUCGCUCCCUUCAGUCCUAAAAGCCGACCUUCCCUUCAACCGCCUCCCCGUAGUCUCGCCGCUCCUCCAGGAUCCACGUCCACAGUCACCUUCGCCUGUUACGGUCUCAGGUGGAGAACAUGCACCCCAGAAACAGCUUGCAUAUCAACUAGGUUUAGAUCGGGUAAAGAGGAAGGCAAAAAGAAAAGAGGAAAGGUUGAAGGAGGAAGCUCCGACACCGACAAAGCCGAGCCGAAGAAAGAGAUCAGUUGCUUUGUUCGAGAGAGAAAGUGUAGUGGGAGAAAGUUAGAGAGAGAUUUUUUUACUUGUAUAUAAAAUAUCAAUAAUUAUUUACUUAACCAUGAAUUUUACCUUUUGUUUAAAUAUAA
This 1213-nucleotide long non-coding RNA is filed under the name Brassica napus (rape). RNAcentral describes it as "long non-coding RNA (BNAP_LNC020708)". Lineage: Eukaryota; Viridiplantae; Streptophyta; Magnoliopsida; Brassicales; Brassicaceae. The record is from RNAcentral.